Molecule: ribosomal RNA, 459 nt
Filed under: uncultured bacterium
Lineage: Bacteria
Description: partial 16S ribosomal RNA
Rfam family: Bacterial small subunit ribosomal RNA
Source: RNAcentral
CCUACGGGUGGCAGCAGUGAGGAAUAUUGGUCAAUGGGCGGGAGUCUGAACCAGCCAAGUCGCGUGAGGGACGACGGUCCUAUGGAUUGUAAACCUCUUUUGUAGGGGAACAAAGGCGCCCACGGGUGGGCGAAUGAGUGUACCCGAAGAAAAAGCAUCGGCUAACUCCGUGCCAGCAGCCGCGGUAAUACGGAGGAUGCGGGCGUUAUCCGGAUUUAUUGGGUUUAAAGGGUGCGAAGGCGGACAGUCAAGGCCGCGGUAAAAGUGCGGUGCUCAACGCCGUACAGCCGUUGAAACUGGCAGUCUUGAGUGGGCGAGAAGUAGGCGGAAUGCGUGGUGUAGCGGUGAAAUGCAUAGAUAUCACGCAGAACUCCGAUUGCGAAGGCAGCAUACCGGCGCCCGACUGACGCUGAGGCACGAAAGCGUGGGUAUCGAACAGGAUUAGAUACCCCAGUAGUC